This 506-nucleotide ribosomal RNA is filed under the name uncultured bacterium. RNAcentral describes it as "partial 16S ribosomal RNA". It matches the Rfam family "Bacterial small subunit ribosomal RNA", at positions 29 to 523 of the family's 1533-position model. The record is from RNAcentral.
AGUGAACGCUGGCGGUAGGCCUAACACAUGCAAGUCGAACGGCAGCACAGGAGAGCUUGCUCUCUGGGUGGCGAGUGGCGGACGGGUGAGGAAUACAUCGGAAUCUACUCUGUCGUGGGGGAUAACGUAGGGAAACUUACGCUAAUACCGCAUACGACCUACGGGUGAAAGCAGGGGAUCUUCGGACCUUGCGCGAUUGAAUGAGCCGAUGUCGGAUUAGCUAGUUGGCGGGGUAAAGGCCCACCAAGGCGACGAUCCGUAGCUGGUCUGAGAGGAUGGUCAGCCACACUGGAACUGAGACACGGUCCAGACUCCUACGGGAGGCAGCAGUGGAGAAUAUUGGACAAUGGGCGCAAGCCUGAUCCAGCCAUACCGCGUGGGUGAAGAAGGCCUUCGGGUUGUAAAGCCCUUUUGUUGGGAAAGAAAUCCAGCUGGCUAAUACCCGGUUGGGAUGACGGUACCCAAAGAAUAAGCACCGGCUAACUUCGUGCCAGCCGCCGCGGUAA